Molecule: long non-coding RNA, 470 nt
Filed under: Gossypium barbadense (sea-island cotton)
Lineage: Eukaryota; Viridiplantae; Streptophyta; Magnoliopsida; Malvales; Malvaceae
Description: long non-coding RNA (GBAR_LNC007737)
Source: RNAcentral
UUCUUUCAUCAGAUUUAAGAAUUUUAUUUUUCAAUCAUACUUUUACCGGAACAGACUUGGCUGCAUCCAGAUGGUUAAGCCGGCACGUCCCGAGAAGGUACUCCGGCAGCUCCUCCUUUGUAUUUGCCUGUAGGUUUCCGCAUGAAAUAUUUACAAUUUUGGACAUUUAUGGAAGUGUAAGAUCAAAGACACUGAAAUUCCAUUUUAUUUUUCCAUUCAUUGUUUUUGCUAAGUGUUUGUUGUUUUACCUGUAUCAAAAAUGCCAUUUCAAUAACCAGAUUGUUGAGGUAACCAAGCACAAGACUGACUACACCUCUUGCCACUGUUGAUGAUCCGAUGUCGAUCCCAAGCUGAAAACAAAAAAUUACGAAGUUUCAGUAUGCCGGAGUUUCUCAUGCUAUUUACAAUUGUCAAAAUCCACUUUGAACACUGAUUGUUUAAAAAUGAGGCAAUGUUAUAAAUUUACCUCC